This 380-nucleotide ribosomal RNA is filed under the name uncultured cyanobacterium. RNAcentral's name for it is "bacterial SSU rRNA". It matches the Rfam family "Bacterial small subunit ribosomal RNA", at positions 376 to 770 of the family's 1533-position model. The record is from RNAcentral. Lineage: Bacteria; Bacillati; Cyanobacteriota.
CGAAAGCCUGACGGAGCAAGACCGCGUGGGGGAGGAAUGCCUUAGGGUUGUAAACCCCUUUUAUCUGGGAAGAACAAAAUGACGGUACCAGAUGAAUAAGCCUCGGCUAACUCCGUGCCAGCAGCCGCGGUAAUACGGAGGAGGCAAGCGUUAUCCGGAAUUAUUGGGCGUAAAGCGUCCGCAGGUGGCGAUUCAAGUCUGCUGUUAAAGACAGUGGCUCAACUACUGAAAGGCAGUAGAUACUGAAGGACUAGAGUGCGGUAGGGGCAGAGGGAAUUCCCGGUGUAGCGGUGAAAUGCGUAGAGAUCGGGAAGAACAUCGGUGGCGAAAGCGCUUUGCUAGACCGAAACUGACACUCAGGGACGAAAGCUAGGGGAGCG